GACGGAGGAUGCAAGUGUUAUCCGGAAUCACUGGGCGUAAAGCGUGCGCAGGCGGUUGUGUAAGACAGGUGUGAAAUCCCCGGGCUUAACCUGGGAACUGCAUUUGUGACUGCAUCGCUGGAGUGCGGCAGAGGGGGAUGGAAUUCCGCGUGUAGCAGUGAAAUGCGUAGAUAUGCGGAGGAACACCGAUGGCGAAGGCAAUCCCCUGGGCCUGCACUGACGCUCAUGCACGAAAGCGUGGGGAGCAAACAGG
RNAcentral lists this ribosomal RNA (253 nucleotides) under uncultured bacterium. RNAcentral's name for it is "partial 16S ribosomal RNA". It matches the Rfam family "Bacterial small subunit ribosomal RNA", at positions 524 to 776 of the family's 1533-position model. The record is from RNAcentral.